RNAcentral lists this ribosomal RNA (440 nucleotides) under uncultured bacterium. RNAcentral describes it as "partial 16S ribosomal RNA". It matches the Rfam family "Bacterial small subunit ribosomal RNA", at positions 338 to 795 of the family's 1533-position model. The record is from RNAcentral.
CCUACGGGAGGCAGCAGUAGGGAAUAUUGCUCAAUGGGGGAAACCCUGAAGCAGCAACGCCGCGUGGAGGAUGAAGGUUUUCGGAUUGUAAACUCCUUUUGUUAGAGAAGAUAAUGACGGUAUCUAACGAAUAAGCACCGGCUAACUCCGUGCCAGCAGCCGCGGUAAUACGGAGGGUGCAAGCGUUACUCGGAAUCUCUGGGCGUAAAGAGCGCGUAGGCGGGAUAGCAAGGCAGAUGUGAAAUGCUAUGGCUUAAACAGAGAACUGCAGUUGAAACUGUUAUUCUAGAGUAUGGGAGAGGUAGGUGGAAUGCUUGGUGUAGGGGUAAAAUGCGUAGAGAUCAAGAGGAAUACUCAUUGCGAAGGCGACCUGCUAGAACAUAACUGACGCUGAUGCGCGAAAGCGUGGGGAGCAAACAGGAUUAGAUACCCCAGUAGUC